UGGGGAAUAUUGCACAAUGGGCGCAAGCCUGAUGCAGCCAUGCCGCGUGUAUGAAGAAGGCCUUCGGGUUGUAAAGUACUUUCAGUCGGGAGGAAGGUGUCAAGGUUAAUAACCUUGGCAAUUGACGUUACCGACAGAAGAAGCACCGGCUAACUCCGUGCCAGCAGCCGCGGUAAUACGGAGGGUGCAAGCGUUAAUCGGAAUUACUGGGCGUAAAGCGCACGCAGGCGGUUGAUUGAGUCAGAUGUGAAAUCCCCGGGCUUAAUCCGGGGAUUGCAUCUGAUACUGGUCAGAUAGAGUCUUGUAGAGGGGGGUAGAUUUCCAUGUGUAGCGGGGAAAGGCGUAGGGAUGUGGGGGAAUACCGGUGGCGAAGGCGGCCCCCUGGACAAAGACUGACGCUCAGGUGCGAAAGCGUGGGGAGCAAACAGG
Molecule: ribosomal RNA, 429 nt
Filed under: Chloroflexota bacterium
Lineage: Bacteria; Bacillati; Chloroflexota
Description: Chloroflexi bacterium partial 16S ribosomal RNA
Rfam family: Bacterial small subunit ribosomal RNA
Source: RNAcentral